AUUGAACGCUGGCGGCAUGCUUUACACAUGCAAGUCGAACGGCAGCACGGGUGCUUGCACCUGGUGGCGAGUGGCGAACGGGUGAGUAAUGCAUCGGAACGUGCCCAUGAGUGGGGGAUAGCCCGGCGAAAGCCGGAUUAAUACCGCAUACGCCCUUAGGGGGAAAGGCGGGGGAGUCUUCGGACCUCGCGCUAUUGGAGCGGCCGAUGUCGGAUUAGCUAGUAGGUGAGGUAAAGGCGUCACCUAGGCGACGAUCCGUAGCUGGUCUGAGAGGAUGAUCAGCCACACUGGGACUGAGACACGGCCCAGACUCCUACGGGAGGCAGCAGUGGGGAAUUUUGGACAAUGGGCGCAAGCCUGAUCCAGCCAUGCCGCGUGAGUGAAGAAGGCC
RNAcentral lists this ribosomal RNA (391 nucleotides) under uncultured bacterium. RNAcentral's name for it is "bacterial SSU rRNA". It matches the Rfam family "Bacterial small subunit ribosomal RNA", at positions 28 to 416 of the family's 1533-position model. The record is from RNAcentral.